RNAcentral lists this long non-coding RNA (552 nucleotides) under Vigna radiata. Its description in RNAcentral is "long non-coding RNA (VRAD_LNC000726)". The record is from RNAcentral. Lineage: Eukaryota; Viridiplantae; Streptophyta; Magnoliopsida; Fabales; Fabaceae.
UACAUUCAAUCUUGUUUAAUUCGUUUUCUAAGGCCAUAGCUUAAGUCGUAAAUAUACAUUAUGGAAAAUAUAGAUUUAGAAAAAAAAAUUAGCCAUUUUUAUUUAAUAAGCUUGAUGAGUUAACAAAAUAGGAAUGGAAAAUCUAGACUUAAUUUAAUAUUAUUAAUUAUUAAAUUGUAUGUGUGUGGAUUUGUCUUGGAAUUAAGUAUAGUGUGAUAAAUUAUUUAGGUCGAUGAGGGGGUGAGAAUAGAAGCAUGGGUGGUGGUUAUACGAAAUUAUUUUCAAUUUGUUUGGGCUAAAAAAUACGGUUAAGGAUGAGUUUCGUCAGAAGUAGAGGUGUGAACAGCAAAAGAUUGUUCUUUCCAAAAACACCCGAGCAUUUUUAUUAUUAAAUAAGAGACAAGAAAAAUAAUUAGUCAACGACAUCGUAUCACACUACACGGCGUAAUUUGUUACGUGACUGACUGUUUUAGCAAAAAAUAUCCACAUGACGUAUUCAUGUGGACUCACUUUAAUGAAGCUUUCUAUAAAUAUUAAAGCAAAGAAAAAAAC